AAACAAUUUUGAAUAAAUGUUUUUGCAUUCCACUCUGAACUGUCUUUCCAGAAACAGAUAGACGACAGGAUUCCCCGCACAACAAAUGAAAAAUCCUCUGUACAAAAUGGCCGACAUGGAAUUAAAUGAGCCAGUAGUGCCUGGAUUGAUGAAAUCAAUUAGAAAGCUGAUCACAGUUAACAAAUAUCCAAUAUAAGACAUAGUUGAUGCCGCAAUGAAUAAAAAUGAAAUAUCCCGCGAGUAUUUA
RNAcentral lists this long non-coding RNA (247 nucleotides) under Mytilus galloprovincialis (Mediterranean mussel). The record is from RNAcentral. Lineage: Eukaryota; Metazoa; Mollusca; Bivalvia; Mytilida; Mytilidae.